UGGGGGGUUAUAAUGGCUUUGAUUUGUAAGAGGAGGUACUUGGUGAAAAUUUGGAGGCGCUUGGGAAUUUGUUCGGUUAUUUGGAGGAGUGGAUUGGAAAUGAGACUGAUUAUUUAGAUGUGGAAUUGGGUAUUGCGGAAAGAUAUUUGGCUGUGGAGCUUGGUAUUGAGGUGGGCAUAGAAUACAUGUUGAAGGCUCGGUGA
RNAcentral lists this long non-coding RNA (203 nucleotides) under Capsicum annuum. RNAcentral's name for it is "long non-coding RNA (CANN_LNC003716)". Lineage: Eukaryota; Viridiplantae; Streptophyta; Magnoliopsida; Solanales; Solanaceae. The record is from RNAcentral.